This 443-nucleotide ribosomal RNA is filed under the name uncultured bacterium. RNAcentral's name for it is "SSU rRNA". It matches the Rfam family "Bacterial small subunit ribosomal RNA", at positions 26 to 518 of the family's 1533-position model. The record is from RNAcentral.
AGAACGAACGCUGGCGGCAGGCUUAACACAUGCAAGUCGAGCGCCCCGCAAGAGGAGCGGCAGACGGGUGAGUAACGCGUGGGAACAUACCCUCCGGUUCGGAAUAGCUCAGGGAAACUUGGAUUAAUACCGGAUACGGCCUAGCGGCGAAAGAUUCAUCGCCGGAGGAUUGGCCCGCGUUCGAUUAGCUAGUUGGUGAGGUAACGGCUCACCAAGGCGACGAUCGAUAGCUGGUCUGAGAGGAUGAUCAGCCACAUUGGGACUGAGACACGGCCCAAACUCCUACGGGAGGCAGCAGUGGGGAAUAUUGGACAAUGGGCGCAAGCCUGAUCCAGCCAUGCCGCGUGAGUGAUGACGGCCUUAGGGUUGUAAAGCUCUUUCGCUAGGGACGAUAAUGACGGUACCUAGACAAGAAGCCCGGCUAACUUCGUGCCAGCAGCCGC